This 492-nucleotide ribosomal RNA is filed under the name uncultured bacterium. Its description in RNAcentral is "partial 16S ribosomal RNA". It matches the Rfam family "Bacterial small subunit ribosomal RNA", at positions 28 to 507 of the family's 1533-position model. The record is from RNAcentral.
GAUGAACGCUAGCUACAGGCUUAACACAUGCAAGUCGAGGGGAAACGACAUCGAAAGCUUGCUUUUGAUGGGCGUCGACCGGCGCACGGGUGAGUAACGCGUAUCCAACCUGCCCACCACUUGGGGAUAACCUUGCGAAAGUAAGACUAAUACCCAAUGAUAUCUCUAGAAGACAUCUGAAAGAGAUUAAAGAUUUAUCGGUGAUGGAUGGGGAUGCGUCUGAUUAGCUUGUUGGCGGGGUAACGGCCCACCAAGGCAACGAUCAGUAGGGGUUCUGAGAGGAAGGUCCCCCAAAUUGGAACUGAGACACGGUCCAAACUCCUACGGGAGGCAGCAGCGAGGAAUAUUGGUCGAUGGACGAGAGCCUGAACCAGCCAAGUAGCGUGCAGGAAGACGGUCCUAUGGGUUGUAAACUGCUUUUAUAAGGGAAUAAAGUGAGUCUCGUGAGACUUUUUGCAUGUACCUUAUGAAUAAGGACCGGCUAAUUCCGUG